Molecule: long non-coding RNA, 125 nt
Organism: Etheostoma spectabile (orangethroat darter)
Lineage: Eukaryota; Metazoa; Chordata; Actinopteri; Perciformes; Percidae
Exons: 3
Source: RefSeq, a predicted model, not a curated record
GAGUCAAGACCAGGACCAGAUAUGUGUUAGACAGCCAGAGCUUCUUCUCUUGUCUCCCGCAUUCACUUUCUUGGGAGUGCAUGUAAAGGGGGGGCAAGGAGAUAUAGUUAUUAGAUUUGAGAGAU